AGCAGCCGCGGUAAUUCCAGCUCCAAUAGCGUAUAUUAAAGUUGUUGCAGUUAAAAGCUCGUAGUUGAAUUUCGGGAUCAAUACGUCGGUCGUGCUUCGGUACGUACUGGCGUAAUUGAUUUCUCCCUUCUGACGAACCAUGAUGUCAUUAACUUGGUGUCAUGGGAAAUCAGGACUGUUACUUUGAAAAAUUAGAGUGUUUAAAGCAGGCUCACGCUUGAAUACAUUAGCAUGGAAUAAUGAAAUAGGACGUUCGAUCCUAUUUUGUUGGUUUUUUAGGAUCAACGUAAUGAUUAAUAGGGAUAGUUGGGGCAUUAGUAUUCAAUUGUCAGAGGUGAAAUUCUUGGGAUUUUUAUUGAAGACUAACUACUGCGAAAAGCAUUUUGCCAAGGAUGUUUCAUUAAUCAAGACGAAGUUUAGGGGAUCGAAAGACGAUCAGAUACCGUCGUAGUCUUAAACCCAUAAAACUAUGCCCGACUA
RNAcentral lists this ribosomal RNA (480 nucleotides) under uncultured Glomus. RNAcentral's name for it is "SSU rRNA". It matches the Rfam family "Eukaryotic small subunit ribosomal RNA", at positions 569 to 1049 of the family's 1831-position model. Lineage: Eukaryota; Fungi; Glomeromycota; Glomeromycetes; Glomerales; Glomeraceae. The record is from RNAcentral.